This 282-nucleotide ribosomal RNA is filed under the name uncultured soil bacterium. RNAcentral's name for it is "partial 16S ribosomal RNA". It matches the Rfam family "Bacterial small subunit ribosomal RNA", at positions 26 to 311 of the family's 1533-position model. The record is from RNAcentral.
AGGACGAACGCUGGCGGCGUGCUUAACACAUGCAAGUCGAGCGGUAAGGCCUUUCGGGAUACACGAGCGGCGAACGGGUGAGUAACACGUGGGUGAUCUGCCCUGCACUUCGGGAUAAGCCUGGGAAACUGGGUCUAAUACCGGAUAUGACCUCCUAUCGCAUGGUGGGUGGUGGAAAGAUUUAUCGGUGCAGGAUGGGCCCGCGGCCUAUCAGUCUUGUUGGUGGGUAAUGGCCUACCAAGGCGACGACGGGUAGCCGACCUGACGAGGGUGACCGGCCAC